ACUGAGGUCUACCCCAAUGGAGAUUUUUCUGUAGACCUACAUCAUUGGGAAUGCCUCAUAGAGUAAAUGCAUGGUUUCUUUUACUCACAGAAUUGUGUGAGUAAAUUAUGUGUUAGACCUGUGGGAAAGAACUAUAAGGCAGAG
Camelus dromedarius (Arabian camel) is the source of this 144-nucleotide small nucleolar RNA. The record is from Ensembl. Lineage: Eukaryota; Metazoa; Chordata; Mammalia; Artiodactyla; Camelidae.